GUAAUAUGUUAAGACAGUAAUGUUGACAGUAAUAUUAGCCUGCAAAGUCAUGGCAGUUUUGAAAGGCUGCCAUUUAUGCUUCUGUGGUAUCAGGAAAGGGAUACAUAUAUAUGGAAGUGUCACACAGGACACUGUGACCCUACAUUAAACACAACAGAGUUCAUGCAACACAACUGCCAAAAUGUACAUAAAAAACCAUGAGAGUUUCAGCCAAAGAUUAUAUAGACUUAUAGUCUUUAUACUGACAAGAGGUUAUUGCUCAAAACUCUAAUUUCUUUGUUAGAAUUUUCAGAUGCACCAUGACAUUUAUUGAUUUAAUAAACAGUUUAAUAAACAGUUUUUGAGAUGAUUGCUUUCUCC
This 360-nucleotide long non-coding RNA is filed under the name Bos taurus (domestic cattle). RNAcentral's name for it is "long non-coding RNA NONBTAT018940". Lineage: Eukaryota; Metazoa; Chordata; Mammalia; Artiodactyla; Bovidae. The record is from RNAcentral.